RNAcentral lists this ribosomal RNA (266 nucleotides) under uncultured bacterium. RNAcentral's name for it is "partial 16S ribosomal RNA". It matches the Rfam family "Bacterial small subunit ribosomal RNA", at positions 88 to 354 of the family's 1533-position model. The record is from RNAcentral.
UGGGUUAGUGGCGGACGGGUGAGUAACGCGUGGGUAACCUGCCUUACACAGGGGGAUAACACUUAGAAAUAGGUGCUAAAACCGCAUAAGCGCACAGCUUCGCAUGAAGCGGUGUGAAAAACUCCGGUGGUGUAAGAUGGACCCGCGUCUGAUUAGCUUGUUGGCGGGGUAACGGCCCACCAAGGCGACGAUCAGUAGCCGGCCUGAGAGGGCGGACGGCCACAUUGGGACUGAGACACGGCCCAGACUCCUACGGGAGGCAGCAG